RNAcentral lists this ribosomal RNA (253 nucleotides) under uncultured bacterium. Its description in RNAcentral is "partial 16S ribosomal RNA". It matches the Rfam family "Bacterial small subunit ribosomal RNA", at positions 524 to 776 of the family's 1533-position model. The record is from RNAcentral.
UACGUAGGUGGCGAGCGUUGUCCGGAUUUACUGGGCGUAAAGGGAGCGUAGGCGGUCUUUUAAGUGGGGUGUGAAAUCCCUGGGCUUAACCCAGGAAUUGCAUUCCAUACUGGGAGACUAGAGUGCAGGAGAGGAAAGUGGAAUUCCAAGUGUAGCGGCGAAAUGCGUAGAGAUUUGGAGGAACACCAGUGGCGAAGGCGACUUUCUGGACUGUAACUGACGCUGAGGCUCGAGAGCGUGGGGAGCAAACAGG